Molecule: long non-coding RNA, 398 nt
Filed under: Gallus gallus (chicken)
Lineage: Eukaryota; Metazoa; Chordata; Aves; Galliformes; Phasianidae
Source: RNAcentral
GGGGAAAUUUCUUCAGGUUAACUUUUGGCUGAUUGUUUAUGUUUCUUGCAUCCAUGCAACCUCCUGUCAACUUAUUCGGAUGGGAAGCAGUGGACAACUUGCCUGGUGCAUCCCCCACGUUCCAGAAGAAUGGGUUGAAGGCGAUAGAGAGGACGGCUGCAAUGAAGCCAGAAUCAGUCACAUCCACAUAGCUGAAGACCCGCGCCAUGGCUGUCACAUCCACCUCGCUGUAAUCCAGGCCGCCCAGCCCGCUGCAGCAAUCCCGCGGCCACCACCAAAACCCCGCUCCCCGCCGGCCUCCUGCCUGCCCCCGCUCGCCUCCCGGCCUGGGCCUCCCCGCCAUGGCACGGGGCCGGGGCCGGGGCACCCCGCGGCCUUCCCCCGGCCGGCUGCCAGCG